Anaerocolumna xylanovorans DSM 12503 is the source of this 200-nucleotide regulatory RNA element. It matches the Rfam family "T-box leader". From Rfam's summary of the family: Uncharged tRNA acts as the effector for transcription antitermination of genes in the T-box leader family. T-boxes are found upstream of many aminoacyl-tRNA synthetase genes and some amino acid biosynthetic genes usually in Gram-positive bacteria. NCBI's taxonomy places the organism in Bacteria, Bacillati, Bacillota, Clostridia, Lachnospirales, Lachnospiraceae. The record is from Rfam.
GAAAAUACAAUGACGAGAAGAGUAAGAUGUGAAAUGUUACAGAGAAGGAUAUGAAGUGCUGAGAAUAUCCUAUCAGGAAGCGUCCGAAGACUACCUCCGAGUGGCUCCAAUCCAGCCCGGCCGAUACCGUUAUCAUCAAAUGAAGUGGGAAUUUACAAUCCAAUGAGGGUGGAACCGCGAGAUAUAUGCUCGUCCCUUUC